Molecule: ribosomal RNA, 494 nt
Filed under: uncultured Pseudomonadota bacterium
Lineage: Bacteria; Pseudomonadati; Pseudomonadota
Description: bacterial SSU rRNA
Rfam family: Bacterial small subunit ribosomal RNA
Source: RNAcentral
GCAAUGCCGCGUGAGUGAUGAAGGCCUUCGGGUUGGUAAGACUCUUUCUACCCGCCGACGAUGAGUGACGGUAGCGGGAGAAGAAGCCCCGGCUAACUUCGUGCCAGCAGCCGCGGUAAUACGAAGGGGGCGAGCGUUGUUCGGAUUUACUGGGCGUAAAGGGCGCGCAGGCGGCCGCGUUUGUCAGGCGUGAAAGCCCCGGGCUUAACCUGGGAACUGCGCUUGAGACGGCGCGGCUAGAGUUCGGGAGAGGAGAGUGGAAUUCCCAGUGUAGAGGUGAAAUUCGUAGAUAUUGGGAAGAACACCGGUGGCGAAGGCGGCUCUCUGGACCGAGACUGACGCUGAGGCGCGAAAGCGUGGGGAGCAAACAGGAUUAGAUACCCUGGUAGUCCACGCUGUAAACGAUGUGUGCUAGACGUUGGGGAGCCUGGCUCUUCGGUGUCGCAGCUAACGCGGUAAGCACACCGCCGUGGGGAGUACGGCCGCAAAGGUUA